Molecule: unclassified non-coding RNA, 146 nt
Filed under: Sungouiella intermedia
Lineage: Eukaryota; Fungi; Ascomycota; Pichiomycetes; Serinales; Metschnikowiaceae
Description: [Candida] intermedia partial internal transcribed spacer region
Rfam family: Eukaryotic small subunit ribosomal RNA (bases 1-46)
Source: RNAcentral
AAGUCGUAACAAGGUUUCCGUAGGUGAACCUGCGGAAGGAUCAUUAAAAUAUACUUAUUACAUUGUUUUUGAAGCAAACUUACUAAUAUAUUAUUUUUCAAUUUCUUUAAAAAUCAAAACUUUCAACAACGGAUCUCUUGGUUCUC